CGCAAUGUAGUGUAAAUGGCUAACAUAUGAGCCUCAUGACCUCAUGAUAUACGUUCAAGACGUAUCAUUGCUA
RNAcentral lists this transfer RNA (73 nucleotides) under Diddensiella santjacobensis. Its description in RNAcentral is "tRNA-Met". It matches the Rfam family "tRNA". From Rfam's summary of the family: Transfer RNA (tRNA) molecules are approximately 80 nucleotides in length. Their secondary structure includes four short double-helical elements and three loops (D, anti-codon, and T loops). Further hydrogen bonds mediate the characteristic L-shaped molecular structure. tRNAs have two regions of fundamental functional importance: the anti-codon, which is responsible for specific mRNA codon recognition, and the 3' end, to which the tRNAs corresponding amino acid is attached (by aminoacyl-tRNA synthetases). tRNAs cope with the degeneracy of the genetic code in two manners: having more than one tRNA (with a specific anti-codon) for a particular amino acid; and 'wobble' base-pairing, i.e. permitting non-standard base-pairing at the 3rd anti-codon position. Lineage: Eukaryota; Fungi; Ascomycota; Dipodascomycetes; Dipodascales; Trichomonascaceae. The record is from RNAcentral.